CAGUAGCCACGGGAAUACGUAGGUGGCAAGCGCUGUCCGGAAUUAUUGGGCGUAAAGGGCUCGCAGGCGGUUUCUUAAGUCUGAUGUGAAAGCCCCCGGCUCAACCGGGGAGGGUCAUUGGAAACUGGGAAACUUGAGUGCAGAAGAGGAGAGUGGAAUUCCACGUGUAGCGGUGAAAUGCGUAGAGAUGUGGAGGAACACCAGUGGCGAAGGCGACUCUCUGGUCUGUAACUGACGCUGAGGAGCGAAAGCGUGGGGAGCGAACAGGAUUAGAUACCCGUGUAGUCCCUGUCUCUUAUAC
This 301-nucleotide ribosomal RNA is filed under the name uncultured bacterium. RNAcentral's name for it is "partial 16S ribosomal RNA". It matches the Rfam family "Bacterial small subunit ribosomal RNA", at positions 509 to 807 of the family's 1533-position model. The record is from RNAcentral.